RNAcentral lists this long non-coding RNA (1285 nucleotides) under Piliocolobus tephrosceles (Ugandan red Colobus). RNAcentral's name for it is "lncRNA (ENSPTEG00000016229.1)". Lineage: Eukaryota; Metazoa; Chordata; Mammalia; Primates; Cercopithecidae. The record is from RNAcentral.
UUAUCUAUAUCUGUUAAAACUUGUUUUUAUUUUAUUAUAUAUUGUGUAUGCACAUGUAAUAUAUAUAUAUAUAUAUAUAUAUAUAUAUGCUUAUACCUACAUUCAUUUUAUCAUCUGCUUACUUUUUUUUUUUUUUUUUUAAAUGUUAACUGCAGGUUUAGGAAAAAAUUGAAAAGGCGGAUCAAGUAUUCGUAUGUUAUUGAAGUGAUAUUAUAUGGAGCAGUAUUAUCAAUUUUUUUUGCGGGGAUAUUCGAAUAUUUUUUAUCACAUGUUUGUUAUUAUUUUUGUAGUAUAUGUUUUAUAAAUGAAAUUGAAGAAUCAUAUUUGUUCAUUUGUUCUAUAUUUACUUUUUUUUGUAAAAAAAAAAAAAAAAAAAAAAAAUUAAAAUAUAUGUUAUACACAUAUAUAUAUAUAUAUAAAUAUAUAUUAAAAAGCCUUUAUAAUUUUAUGUUAAAAGGUUAUUUUUUUUAAUAGAUACAUGAAAAAUACACGAAUGGAUGGGGAAAAUAAUAAAUAUAUCCAUUCGUACACGUGUGAUGUUUUGUGAAUUAAAAUGUAUAAACAUUCAUAAAAGAUAUAUAUUUCAUUUUGCAGACUUUUUUUUUGUGGUGGCAUAUGUUGAAGAAAUCUCAAAAAUUAUUCCAUUAAUUUUUGUUCAUAUAAAAAGAAAUAAACAAGAAUAUACCGAGUUACCAAUAGUUGAAAAUUGUCACUAUGUUAAUAAUAUUAUAUAUGAAGAAGAUAUAAAUGAAAGCACUAUAAAGAAAUUUAAAUAUAUUAUUGUAAAUGAUAAAUUAGAAUAUAUAUUUUUUUCUUUGUGUUCCUCUGCCGGGUUUUCCAGUACUGAAAAUUUAUUCUAUGCUACACAAAUAAAAAAACAAAAUUUCUUUUUUGUCUUAAUAUUAAGGUAAAAAUAAUUACAUAAUGAUAUAUUGAAAUUGUUCUUUUUAUUAUACCAACUAAACUAGUUACACCGCGCACAUAUACAUGUACAUAUAUAUAUAAUUAUAUGAUAUUUACGCAGAAACUUGAUAUGUGUAUUAUUCCACAUGUGCUGUACUGGAUUAUCAUCUUACAACAUAGUUAACAACAUAUAUUAUAAAAAAAAGAAACGUACGGAAGCCCCCAAAAAAAAAAAAAAAAAAAAAAAAAAAUCAACCUAUAUUUAUAGUGUCCUCACAUAUAUAUGAAUAUAUGUAUACACGAGCUCAAACAGUUUUGUAGUGAUUUUAUUUAAUUAUUAAUCAUAAAUAAAAAAAAUAAUUCUUUAUUAUUUUUUAUUUUU